GACGAACGCUGGCGGCGUGCUUAACACAUGCAAGUCGAAAGGAAAGGCCCUGCUUUUGUGGGGUGCUCGAGUGGCGCACGGGUGUGAAACACGUGAGUAACCCGCACUUGACUUUGGGAUAACUCCAGGAAACUGGGUAUAAUACCGGAGAGGAGCUCUUGCUGCAUGGAGGGGGAUGGAAAGUUUCGGCGGUGGGGGAUGGACUCGAGGCUUAUCAGCUUGUUGGUGGGGUAGUGGCUUACAAAGGCUUUGACGGGUAGCCGGCCUGAGAGGUUGACCGGCCACAUUGGUCCUACGGUAGGGCCCAGCAUCCAACGGGCGGCAGUGGGGGGGAGUAUUGCGCAGUGGGGGCAAGCGUGUGGCGACAGUCCCGCGAGCGGAAUGACGUCUUUCGGGUUGUAAACCGCUUUCUCAGGUACCGAGGCGUUAGUGACGGUAAUGGGUAAAGAAGCACCGGCUAACUACGUG
This 468-nucleotide ribosomal RNA is filed under the name uncultured bacterium. RNAcentral's name for it is "partial 16S ribosomal RNA". It matches the Rfam family "Bacterial small subunit ribosomal RNA", at positions 28 to 507 of the family's 1533-position model. The record is from RNAcentral.